UACGGAGGGUGCAAGCGUUAGUCGGAAUUACUGGGCGUAAAGGGUGCGUAGGUGGGGAUGUAAGUCAGAUGUGAAAUACCGUUGCUCAACAACGGCCGUGCAUCUGAAACUGCGUUUCUAGAGGGAUAGCGGAGAAAACGGAAUUCCACGUGUAGCGGUGAAAUGCGUAGAUAUGUGGAAGAACACCUGUGGCGAAAGCGGUUUUCUAGCUUAAACCUGACACUGAGGCACGAAAGCAAGGGGAGCAAACAGG
RNAcentral lists this ribosomal RNA (253 nucleotides) under uncultured prokaryote. RNAcentral describes it as "partial 16S ribosomal RNA". It matches the Rfam family "Bacterial small subunit ribosomal RNA", at positions 524 to 776 of the family's 1533-position model. The record is from RNAcentral.